ACAGGCGUGCAGACCAUGGGGACACCCGCCAUGCUGGGAAGUCACAACAGUGUGUGUACUCACCUUAGCUCCCCAUCCAAGGCCUGAAUGACAGCUGCAAAACUCCUGCUGGUUUGGUUGAGGUAGACAUAACACGUCCUCAGGCUGUCGCUCAUGGACUCCUGGCACGACAGACAAAAGAACACCGUGUGUCGACUGAACCCCGCGGGUCUGAGGGCGCUGGAGGUCCGGGCCGCCUCCAGCAGGCCCCGCUCCCCGCGCCUCCAGCCCGCCAGGCGCGAGCGAGGAGUCGCUGAGCCCCGCGGUGCCACCGAGAGAGAGCGCUUGAACACAGACAGAGAGACGGGACACUUGCAGCACGCUCCGGCGGCCAUGCGAGGAGCCGGGUGACGACGACGCCGCCGCAGCAGCAGCUCGGCUUUGGAAUGGACGCUACGACGCAGACGCAGACGCACAUGUAGAGGACGGGCAGCUAAGCGAGAUUAUUGUACCCCGCCUACCGCCCGUGUGCAGCUGGGAUGUGCUCCAGUACCCCCGCGACCCUGCACGGGACAAGCGGUUCUUGGGUUUGCGUUUGCGGGUCUGGAUCCCCUCUUUCUUCAUAGCCAGAGGUCGUGCGACCUGCCAGGACGAUGUUUUACACAGGCCACAGGCGUUGCAGACGGGCUCUCCCUCUGCGUUUCGUCGCCAGAGGGUGGUGGUGGUGGUGUGACAGUUGGUGCACGAAAGGCCAACCCUCCUGGAGGCCGACUGUGUUGAGAGGUGGGCAUGGGACACACGUCACAUUGCUAUCAGAGACACAGGAGAAGUCCUAUUUAUACCUACCAGUCGUCUCUGGGGUUUGAUGAGAGGUCUGUUGAUGCCGUUCAUCUUGUGGUAGAGUCCACAGGCGUUGCACAGGUAGUGGCCCGUGCCGUCCCGCCUCCACAACGGCGUGGACAUGGCGCCACAGUUGACACAUUCUCGGCCCUCGGCGAAGUCGUCAAAUAGAUCUGACCAUGGAGGACAACAAGUGUGAAUUCGUUCUCACCUAUAAUCGUCACCUGAUUCCCCCCAAAUAUCAAUCAAUGAAAGUUUACUUAUAUAGCCUUUAAUCACAAAUGUCUCAAAGGACUGCACACGCCACAGAUCCCAUAUCAGUCCACCCAGGAUUUCGCUGCCUUUUUGUGUGAUUGUUGUGGCCUAAAAUGUCUGAAUUUGUGACCACGAGUUUAGAAAGAAAAAAGUUGCAAUGUUUUUAGGCCUAUUUUAUUCUCCGAUAACAUUGAAUCAGCGUAUGAUUUUGUGAAUUUGUUAUCCAUGUUUUAAGUGUGCCUUGUAACUUUGACUUCAAAAAGCACCUUAUUUCAACACAAAUUGGAAAACAAAUACUGUAUUAAAAUUGUAAUCGUUUUAUAUCACACAAACUUAAAAAUAGACACUAAAUUGCAGUAAAAUCACAUACUAAGAGCUCAUUAUCAAAUUACUGUUUGAAUUAAUCAUCCCAAAUAAUAGCAAUAAUUGUAUUUAUAGAAAGAAACCCCACCAAAGUCAUCUUUAUUGUCUGUUGUCUACAAGUUGCGGACAUUAUUUGUGUAUGUUUUACACUCCAAGUGUUUUUGAAUUGGUGAGUGAUGUGUAGUGGUAAUUUUUGUUGGUAAAUGAGAAGGGAUGAGGGAUUAUCAUCACACUUCAACAUCUCUAACAUGUAAAUGCAGCCUUUAUGCAAGGUAAGCAUUGCAAAUGAAAAUCUUUUUCUAAUUGCCUUAUCCUGGAUAAAUAAAGGUUAAAUAAAUAUACAAACACACGUAAACUUGGAAGUGAGGACAUUGUUUUGUCGCUAAAAGUUUAUAUGUACAUUACUCAGAAGAAUUUAGCACUGUAGACGGAAACCUAAAAUAGGUCUGAGCUGCCUAGGAGGAUGGAAAUUGGGCAAUAAAGAGUUGUUAUAUUGUUA
Nerophis ophidion (straightnose pipefish) is the source of this 1936-nucleotide long non-coding RNA. RefSeq lists it as uncharacterized. NCBI's taxonomy places the organism in Eukaryota, Metazoa, Chordata, Actinopteri, Syngnathiformes, Syngnathidae. The record is from RefSeq and is a predicted model, not a curated record. The transcript is spliced from 4 exons.